Molecule: RNA transcript, 885 nt
Organism: Rhododendron vialii
Lineage: Eukaryota; Viridiplantae; Streptophyta; Magnoliopsida; Ericales; Ericaceae
Gene name: multicystatin-like
Exons: 4
Source: RefSeq, a predicted model, not a curated record
AAAUCAAUAUUGCAUCUUCGUCUACACUUACCUUGCAAAAGAGACCUAAUUAAAAACAAGAGUGAGAGGGAUGGAGAUCGGAAAAGUUCUCUUCCAAAAAGAUGUAGAAGGAAUUCCGAAACCAACAUUCGAAGGAGCGGUGCAAGUUCAAUUAUCCAAUCCAGAUUUUGAUGACGCUGCUAAAUACGCUAUUAAAGCUUACAAUGAGGAACAGGGUACUCACCUUGAGUUUGGGAGCGUUAUAAGUGGCUGGGACAAGGAUUUAGCCAUUUUGGGAACAUUGUACCUCGUAGUUUUUUUUGCUAAAGAUGGCGAUCAUACCAUGAUGUAUUUUGCGGCAGUCCACAAGACCCUCGCGACGAAGAUUCUACUGCCCUUCAUUUAUAUUGCCGGGUGACACUAAGGAACUUUAUAUCUAUUUUAAAACCAAUUUACAAUGAGUGAAGAUGUCCCAAAUUUUAUUAAGUGAUCACUUAUUCUAUUCCCAAAUAAUGUGGGAUUCUAUUUCCUCAUCAUCAUUCCUCACGUGCAGCUGCAUUUGAGGUUUGUCACGUUUAGCUUUUUUUUUGGGGGCUCAAUCUCACCGUUCACUUGCGGAGAGCCGGAUCAAAGCUCUGUAUGGACUGAGCCCAAAAGAGUCAAUAGCAUCUGAAAGGUUUCAAACUUGAGAUCUUAAGAGGGAACAAACCUCUAAAUCCCUGACCUUAACCAUCAGACCAAUUUCAGGGUUUUGGGGCACUGCUUAUUGGGGGAUCCACAAUGGAAUCAAGCUUAAAUGAUGUAUUUACAGGCCUCAAAAACAAUUUAGAAAAUGUUUAAGGACCACUGCGGCAGAAAGUGUGCACAAUAAGAUCAGAUGCUCAUCCACAAGGAAUAAUCCACAAA